This 460-nucleotide ribosomal RNA is filed under the name uncultured bacterium. Its description in RNAcentral is "partial 16S ribosomal RNA". It matches the Rfam family "Bacterial small subunit ribosomal RNA", at positions 338 to 795 of the family's 1533-position model. The record is from RNAcentral.
CCUACGGGAGGCUGCAGUGAGGAAUAUUGGUCAAUGGGCGCGAGCCUGAACCAGCCAAGUAGCGUGAAGGAUGACUGCCCUACGGGUUGUAAACUUCUUUUAUAAAGGAAUAAAGUGAGGCCCGUGUGCCUUUUUGUAUGUACUUUCUGAAUAAGGAUCGGCUAACUCCGUGCCAGCAGCCGCGGUAAUUCGGAGGAUCCGAGCGUUAUCCGGAUUUAUUGGGUUUAAAGGGAGCGUAGUUGGGUUGUGAAGUCAGGUGUGAAAGUUUGCGGCUCAACCGUAAAAUUGCAUUUGAUACUGGCAGCCUUGAGUACAGUUGAGGUAGGCGGAAUUCGUGGUGUAGCGGUGAAAUGCUUAGAUACCACGAAGAACUCCGAUUGCGAAGGCAGCCUACUAAACUGCCACUGACAUUGAUGCUCGAAAGUGUGGGUAUCAAACAGGAUUAGAUACCCGUGUAGUC